AUUACCUGGACCAAUAGGUGCUCCAGGACAAAAAGGAGAUAAAGGUGAAAAAGGUCCAACUGGUGUGCAAGGGUGUGGACUUCCUGGAGCAGAUGGAGUACAAGGACCUAGAGGAUACCCUGGGUAUCCGGGAAUUGCUGAAGAUGGAGAACCAGGC
Molecule: long non-coding RNA, 157 nt
Organism: Mobula hypostoma (lesser devil ray)
Lineage: Eukaryota; Metazoa; Chordata; Chondrichthyes; Myliobatiformes; Myliobatidae
Exons: 3
Source: RefSeq, a predicted model, not a curated record